UACAGAGGGUGCUAGCGUUAAUCGGAAUUACUGGGCGUAAAGGGUGUGUAGGUGGUUGGUUAAGUUAGAUGUGAAAUCCCUGGGCUUAACCUGGGAACUGCGUUUAAAACUGUUCAGCUAGAGUACUGUAGAGGAUAGUGGAAUUUCCAGUGUAGCGGUGAAAUGCGUAGAUAUUGGAAGGAACACCAGUGGCGAAGGCGACUAUCUGGACAGAUACUGACACUGAGACACGAAAGCGUGGGGAGCAAACAGG
RNAcentral lists this ribosomal RNA (253 nucleotides) under uncultured bacterium. RNAcentral describes it as "partial 16S ribosomal RNA". It matches the Rfam family "Bacterial small subunit ribosomal RNA", at positions 524 to 776 of the family's 1533-position model. The record is from RNAcentral.